GUGUAGCUCAGUGGUAGAGCAUUUGCCAGCAGGCAUGAAACCCUGGGUUCAAUCCCCAGUAC
This 62-nucleotide transfer RNA is filed under the name Fukomys damarensis (Damara mole-rat). It matches the Rfam family "tRNA", at positions 5 to 66 of the family's 71-position model. From Rfam's summary of the family: Transfer RNA (tRNA) molecules are approximately 80 nucleotides in length. Their secondary structure includes four short double-helical elements and three loops (D, anti-codon, and T loops). Further hydrogen bonds mediate the characteristic L-shaped molecular structure. tRNAs have two regions of fundamental functional importance: the anti-codon, which is responsible for specific mRNA codon recognition, and the 3' end, to which the tRNAs corresponding amino acid is attached (by aminoacyl-tRNA synthetases). tRNAs cope with the degeneracy of the genetic code in two manners: having more than one tRNA (with a specific anti-codon) for a particular amino acid; and 'wobble' base-pairing, i.e. permitting non-standard base-pairing at the 3rd anti-codon position. Lineage: Eukaryota; Metazoa; Chordata; Mammalia; Rodentia; Bathyergidae. The record is from Rfam by way of RNAcentral.